CCCUUAGAUGUUCGGGGCCGCACGCGCGCUACACUGAAGGAAUCAGCGCGUCUUUCUCCUUGUCCGAAAGGACUGGGUAACCCGCUGAACCUCCUUCGUGCUAGGGAUUGGGGCUUGUAAUUCUUCCCCAUGAACGAGGAAUUCCCAGUAAGCGCGAGUCGUAAGCUCGCGUUGAUUACGUCCCUGCCCUUUGUACACACCGCCCGUCGCUACUACCGAUUGGAUGGUUUAGUGAGAUCCUCGGAUUGGUCCCGGCGCGGCCUCUGGUCGUGCCGGAGUGCCGAAAAGAAUGUCGAACUUGAUCAUCUAGAGGAAGUAAAAGUCGUAACA
RNAcentral lists this ribosomal RNA (330 nucleotides) under uncultured eukaryote. RNAcentral describes it as "partial 18S ribosomal RNA". It matches the Rfam family "Eukaryotic small subunit ribosomal RNA", at positions 1470 to 1796 of the family's 1831-position model. The record is from RNAcentral.